AUGCGACAAAGUUUUGGGGGGGGGGACACUGGGGGCUCACCCCACGGCUCCCACCGGGGAGAUGCUGGUGGCGGGGGGGACACCGCAGCGCCCCGCGCCCUGAUGCGAAAGGGACGCGGGGAGAGGGGGGGGACAAGCCCCGUGUGUCCCCCCCCCGGGACGCAUCGGGGAUGGGGAGGGGGAGGUCCCGCAGCGGGUCGGGGCCCCCCCAGUUCCCAUCCCGAGGACGAGAUGGGGGCGGCACCGCGGGGACACGGGGGUCGCCCCCCUCCCGGCAUCGCCAUUCCCGGGGCCGGGCCGGGGGAGGGGGGGGCCGGGGGUGGCCGCCCCCCCGCCAGCCCAACGGAUGUGCCGGAGGAAUUUCCUCCCGCUCCCGGCGCUCCGCCCCGGGACCCCCCCGCCGCCGCCCCCGGCCCCUUCCUUGCCCCGGGGGGAGCCCCAGGGAAAGUGUGGGGGGGAAGGGACACGACGCAGGCCCCCCCCCAAAGACACACCGCCCCCUCCUCGCUCGCCCCUUACCUUGGAGACGAUGAGGGGCUCGCCGUGCUCCAGCCCCCCCCGCAGCGUGAAGCCCCAGGGCGCGCCGCCCUGCAGCUGCACAUGCACCAACUGCACGGCCCCGGGCCGGCCCUCGGCCCGCUCCAUGGCCGCUACCGCCCCAUCCCGGCACGGCUCGGCACGGCUCGGCACGGCGGAGGAAAUGACACCCCCCCCAACCUCCCCCCGGACCCCCCUUCCCACCUCCCGCCCGCCCGCCAGGCCGGGGCGGAGCGCAGCGCAGCGCAGCCCCGCCCGGCUCGGCACGGCUCGGAGCCGCCCGCAGCCGCUUGGCUCGGCUCGGCACGGCUUGGCACGGCUUGGCACGGCUCGGCUCGGUCCAGCUCAGCCCUGCCCGGUGGCGCAAGGAGCGCUGGCACGGCUGGGCACGGUUUGGCACAGCUCGCGGGGGCGCUUGGCACGCUCGGGGGCGGUUUGGCACGCCGCGAGGGGCGCAGGAUUUGGCACGGUUCGGCUCGGCGCAGCGUGGGUUGUUGGCACGGCUCGGCUCGGAGCCCGUCACUCGUGGGCCAGCCGUCACCACGCCCGGGUUGGGAGCGGGUGACGCGAGGCCGCCGUCUGGUCCCCACCCUGUCCCCCAGGACGUCCCCCCGCGUCCCCCCGGCAGCCCUGACUCAUCGCCUCCUGCCCAAAACUGCGGCGCCGGGAGCUCUGCGCUGUCCCCACGCCACCGGGACGUGGGAGUCCCCACAGCACAGACCCCCCUGCCACCAUCCCAGCUGUCCCCGGUGUCCCUGA
RNAcentral lists this long non-coding RNA (1296 nucleotides) under Anas platyrhynchos (mallard). Its description in RNAcentral is "lncRNA (ENSAPLG00020017773.1)". The record is from RNAcentral. Lineage: Eukaryota; Metazoa; Chordata; Aves; Anseriformes; Anatidae.